RNAcentral lists this ribosomal RNA (819 nucleotides) under uncultured eukaryote. RNAcentral describes it as "SSU rRNA". It matches the Rfam family "Eukaryotic small subunit ribosomal RNA", at positions 629 to 1426 of the family's 1831-position model. The record is from RNAcentral.
CGGUGUUUAACUGGCGUGAUGUGGGACGUCCUACCGGUGGGCUUAGCCUCGCGAGGGGCGGCCCAACUAAUAUCCCGUCGCGGUGCUCUUUACUGAGUGUCGAGUCGGGCCGGUACGUUUACUUUGAGCAAAUUAGAGUGCUUAAAGCAGGCUAUCCUCGCCUGAAUACUGCGUGCAUGGAAUAAUGGAAUAGGACCUCGGUUCUAUUUUGUUGGUUUUCGGAACCCCGAGGUAAUGAUUAAUAGGGACAGAUGGGGGCAUUCGUAUUGCGACGUUAGAGGUGAAAUUCUUGGAUCGUCGCAAGACGGACAGAAGCGAAAGCAUUUGCCAAAAAUGUUUUCAUUAAUCAAGAACGAAAGUUAGAGGUUCGAAGGCGAUCAGAUACCGCCCUAGUUCUAACCAUAAACGAUGCCAGCUAGCGAUCCGCCGAAGUUCCUCCGAUGACUCGGCGGGCAGCUUCCGGGAAACCAAAGCUUUUGGGUUCCGGGGGAAGUAUGGUUGCAAAGCUGAAACUUAAAGGAAUUGACGGAAGGGCACCACCAGGAGUGGAGCCUGCGGCUUAAUUUGACUCAACACGGGAAACCUCACCAGGCCCAGACACCGGAAGGAUUGACAGAUUGAUAGCUCUUUCUUGAUUCGGUGGGUGGUGGUGCAUGGCCGUUCUUAGUUGGUGGAGCGAUUUGUCUGGUUAAUUCCGAUAACGAACGAGACUCUAGCCUGCUAAAUAGGCGUACCUUAUGGUAUCGCGAAGGCCCCCGGCUUCGGCCGGUGGGUUUUUACUACCAACGUACAAACAAAUCUUCUUAGAGGGACAGGCGG